RNAcentral lists this transfer RNA (67 nucleotides) under Marmota monax (woodchuck). RNAcentral's name for it is "tRNA.Thr". It matches the Rfam family "tRNA". Rfam says of the family: Transfer RNA (tRNA) molecules are approximately 80 nucleotides in length. Lineage: Eukaryota; Metazoa; Chordata; Mammalia; Rodentia; Sciuridae. The record is from RNAcentral.
GGUUUUAGCUCAGUGGUAGAGUGCUCGCCUUGUAUGUGUGAGGCACUGGGUUCGAUGCUCAGCACCA